This 309-nucleotide unclassified non-coding RNA is filed under the name Hevea brasiliensis (rubber tree). Lineage: Eukaryota; Viridiplantae; Streptophyta; Magnoliopsida; Malpighiales; Euphorbiaceae. The record is from RNAcentral.
AAAAAAAAAAAAAAAGACUGAAAUUUUGUCUGCUAAAAGCAAAUUGAACAGAAGCUCCACACUAGAGCAAAAUAACAACAAAAAUACAAAUUAUAAGAGGGAAAAACAGAGAGAGAAGUAAAGCAACAAAAUUUUCCCUUCAAAGCACAUCUUUUCAUCCAUCACCAUACAGAAGCAAAAUCAAACAUGAUCUGCUUUAUCAGCAAAACCCAAUUACAAACUUUUCUAUGUUCACAAAGCUUGAACCUAGAGGAUUGAUUCUUUAUGGGUAUGGAUUUGAGAGGAGGGAUAUUGUGGGCGUGGGAUUUA